AGAGGGGCACGGGGGAACCAUGGGGUCGCAGAGGUAUGAGAGAAGAGGGCCGCCGCCCGGGAUGGCGUGGGGACCGGGUGGGUAUGUGAGGUGUGGUUUGAGGGGGCACAAAGGCAAGCUUUUUAAAAGAUGCUCCUGCUUCUGUAAUGGCGAGUCCUUUAUUUAAACAGGUGCUUUGGAAACGCUUAUCUACCUUGCCCAUCAAACGCAGGUUCUCCCAGAGGCCAGGGGGUGGAGGGACCAAAUGCCCAGCUCAGCACCAGCGUCUGGGUUCGAAUUCCAGCUGGCCGUGGGACGGGGGGAGAACCAUUUACCCUCCCUGCGCCUCAGUCGGCCCAGCUGUAAAAAGGAGGAAGCAGUAGCCCCUCUUCCGCAGAGCCAUCCUGGGCCUAAGGAACUUGAGCUACGUCAAGUGCUGAAGGGAGCGCCUGGCCCUGCCGUCCCAUUACGGACGAAGGCAAGGCUCUGCCGAGAGAGGCUGGGCGAGCCUGUGUGUCUAAAUAAGUGGUGCACGGACACGAUAAACUGUGAAGAUGGCACAGCCACGACUGAAAUUUGGAAAAUCAAUGAGCUGAGUCUUUCUGUCCAUUGGCUAUGAGCAUCAAGGAAAGCCCAGGAGAUCCCAUCAUUUUCUCCUGUGAACAGCUCGGCAAGGGUCCAAAGCGCCCUCUUGGAAUGAGGCAGCAGGCUCACUGUAAGACACCGGCUCGACUACCCAUGGCCACUGGCGCCACUGGGGACACAUUCUG
Molecule: long non-coding RNA, 749 nt
Filed under: Dasypus novemcinctus (nine-banded armadillo)
Lineage: Eukaryota; Metazoa; Chordata; Mammalia; Cingulata; Dasypodidae
Description: lncRNA (ENSDNOG00000052159.1)
Source: RNAcentral